Molecule: ribosomal RNA, 529 nt
Filed under: Crossodactylus caramaschii
Lineage: Eukaryota; Metazoa; Chordata; Amphibia; Anura; Hylodidae
Description: partial large subunit ribosomal RNA
Rfam family: Bacterial large subunit ribosomal RNA
Source: RNAcentral
GGUCCAGCCUGCCCAGUGACCCAGUUCAACGGCCGCGGUAUCCUAACCGUGCGAAGGUAGCGUAAUCACUUGUUCUUUAAAUAAGGACUAGUAUGAAUGGCAUCACGAGGGUUAUACUGUCUCCUUUUUCUAAUCAGUGAAACUAAUCUUCCCGUGAAGAAGCGGGAAUAAAUUUAUAAGACGAGAAGACCCUAUGGAGCUUUAAAUAUAUAGCAAAUGCUUAUUCUUCAUUCUCAUCCAGAUGACUCACUUUUAUUUUAGCAUUUUGACCUAUAAAUUUUAGGUUGGGGUGACCAUGGAGCAAAAAUCAACCUCCAUAUUGAAAAAACCUCAUUUUUAAGCAAAAAGUUACCACUUUAAGCAUCAACACACUGACAUUAAUUGACCCAAUAGUUUGAUCAAUGAACCAAGUUACCCUAGGGAUAACAGCGCAAUCUACUUCGAGAGCUCUUAUCGACAAGUAGGUUUACGACCUCGAUGUUGGAUCAGGGUAUCCUAGUGGUGCAGCCGCUACUAAAGGUUCGUUUGU